Long non-coding RNA from Aegilops tauschii subsp. strangulata, 912 nucleotides. RefSeq lists it as uncharacterized. NCBI's taxonomy places the organism in Eukaryota, Viridiplantae, Streptophyta, Magnoliopsida, Poales, Poaceae. The record is from RefSeq and is a predicted model, not a curated record.
AUUAUCUCUUCCUCCCAACUAAACAGGUCAAUUAUUUGCUUGUGGGUCGCCGGCCUGAGCUGGUAUCAUAUGAGUUAGUUGUGUGAAUCAUUGUACGCCUCCAUAAGCCAUCUGUCCACGACAACUCUCCAUGCCUACCUUCUCGUCACCUUCCUCAGAUAGCAGCUGCAAGCAAACAAUGCGAAUAUAUACAUGUACUUCGCGUAUUCGUGUGGUGGUUUAUCUGCGCCUACGCGCGAGGGAGAGUAGAAGCUCCGACCUUGCCAAUGGCAAUGCCGUGGGAGAUGGUGGUGUGCAUAGCGGGCAACGUGUGGGUGCUGCUCGCCGGCUGGAUCUCCGUCUGCUUCCUGGCCGCGGACGAGGCCGCCCGCCUCCUCCGGUCGGCUACCGAUUGAUCAUUGAUGAUCAGGAUAACCAGAGGAAAUGUUGGUUAAAUACAAAGUAUGUCUGGAGCAUGGUGUUAUUAUGUCAGAGAAACUGUCAAGUAUCUUCUCAACGAGUUGGAGGGAGGAAAAUUGGUGGAGCAAUUCAUGGUGCUGCUACUCUAUAACCUGGAGAUGAUGCUGCCACUGGAACCAAACUCUAGAAGUGGAACAGUGUGAACUAUGUGCUUUCUUCGGAAUCCAAUGUUGGAGGUACACUUCAUGGCGCGAGAAUCACACUGUAGUAUCUCGAGAAGCACCCCAUAGAUGAUGAUUCAAUCCAUGCCCUUAUAUGAGACAACCGGGGCUUUGGAACUUUGCCCCCACUAGUAGAGUAGACUUUUAGUUUGUACUUUGUGUUUUGUACCUCCUAUACACAAAUUGUUUUGACCGUUCUUUUAAUUUUCCAAUGGUACCUGUAAGGGAUGUUCCUUUUGGGGGUAUGAUCGUGUGACCAAUUGGUUUCCUUUCAAUGAAAUGGAGUCAUGCA